AAACCAUGAUGUGGGUACAAAUUCAAAAGAUUCUUAAAUCUUUGCCAUGUUUGAUACAAUGAUUCACUCUCUUUUUGAGAAAAAGUAGAAAUUUGUUGCUUUAAAGCU
Small nucleolar RNA from Malus domestica (apple), 108 nucleotides. The record is from RefSeq and is a predicted model, not a curated record. NCBI's taxonomy places the organism in Eukaryota, Viridiplantae, Streptophyta, Magnoliopsida, Rosales, Rosaceae.